RNAcentral lists this ribosomal RNA (515 nucleotides) under uncultured bacterium. RNAcentral describes it as "bacterial SSU rRNA". It matches the Rfam family "Bacterial small subunit ribosomal RNA", at positions 32 to 518 of the family's 1533-position model. The record is from RNAcentral.
AACGCUGGCGGCGUGCCUAAUACAUGCAAGUCGAACGGCCUUUUCUAUGGAAGCUUGCUUCCACUGAGAAGAUAGUGGCGAACGGGUGAGUAACACGUGGGUAACCUGCCCAUAAGAGGGGGGAUAACAUCCGGAAACGGGUGCUAAUACCGCAUAGUUUUCUUGAUCGCAUGAUCGGGAAAGGAAAGACGGCCUUUGUGCUGUCGCUUAUGGAUGGACCCGCGGCGUAUUAGUUAGUUGGUGGGGUAACGGCUCACCAAGACGAUGAUACGUAGCCGACCUGAGAGGGUGAUCGGCCACAUUGGGACUGAGACACGGCCCAAACUCCUACGGGAGGCAGCAGUAGGGAAUCUUCUGCAAUGGACGAAAGUCUGACGGAGCAACGCCGCGUGAGUGAAAGAAGGUUUUCGGAUCGUAAAACUCUGUUGUCAGAGAAGAACAAGUUGGAGAGUAACUGCUCCAGCCUUGACGGUAUCUGACCAGAAAGCCACGGCUAACUACGUGCCAGCCGCCGC